AUAGUGAUAUUAUAAGUUUAAUAUGCUUUCUUUCCACGUAAGAGAUCUCUAUUAAAGAGUCAUUAUA
RNAcentral lists this transfer RNA (67 nucleotides) under Schistosoma haematobium. RNAcentral describes it as "tRNA-Gly". Lineage: Eukaryota; Metazoa; Platyhelminthes; Trematoda; Strigeidida; Schistosomatidae. The record is from RNAcentral.